GUGGGGAAUAUUGCACAAUGGGGGAAACCCUGAUGCAGCGACGCCGCGUGAGUGAAGAAGUAUCUCGGUAUGUAAAGCUCUAUCAGCAGGAAAGAUAAUGACGGUACCUGACUAAGAAGCCCCGGCUAACUACGUGCCAGCAGCCGCGGUAAUACGUAGGGGGCAAGCGUUAUCCGGAUUUACUGGGUGUAAAGGGAGCGUAGACGGCAGCGCAAGUCUGGAGUGAAAUGCCGGGGCCCAACCCCGGAACUGCUUUGGAAACUGUGCGGCUCGAGUGCGGGAGAGGUAGGCGGAAUUCCUAGUGUAGCGGUGAAAUGCGUAGAUAUUAGGAGGAACACCAGUGGCGAAGGCGGCUUACUGGACCGUAACUGACGUUGAGGCUCGAAAGCGUGGGGAGCAAACAGG
RNAcentral lists this ribosomal RNA (405 nucleotides) under bacterium. RNAcentral describes it as "bacterial SSU rRNA". It matches the Rfam family "Bacterial small subunit ribosomal RNA", at positions 354 to 776 of the family's 1533-position model. RNAcentral also lists the same sequence under 1 other name. The record is from RNAcentral.